This is a long non-coding RNA of Pezoporus occidentalis (night parrot), 413 nucleotides long. RefSeq lists it as uncharacterized. NCBI's taxonomy places the organism in Eukaryota, Metazoa, Chordata, Aves, Psittaciformes, Psittacidae. The transcript has 2 exons. The record is from RefSeq and is a predicted model, not a curated record.
UCCAAGUUUUAUUUUAGAUUGACAGAAUCACCAAGUGUCCAUCUAAUACAGCAAGUAGAAGACAUAAAAAGAAUAAAGUGCGUAUGCACAUGCAAGACAGAAAACAAGCCCCAUACACAUUCUAACAGGUCUCAUUGUAACAUAUCGUUUUUAUAGAGCUUUAAGGCAUCCAGUAGCAGAGUUUCAUUGCAGACCUCUGAAAACCAGCUGACAGAAUGCCAGAAGGGUCCCUCUUGUUCCACAGAAGUUUUCUUCAAAUCCAGGUCAAUAACCUGCUAAAAAGCCACCUAUUUCCCUCUUCUUGCAUGUGUUUCUCAGGAAAACUGUUGUAAUCUUACCUGAUUCUCAAAAAAAUGUCAACACAUUGAUUGUAUUUUUCAUCUGAUCCUGUCAAUGCUGAGAUGACAGGCCCU